RNAcentral lists this ribosomal RNA (1138 nucleotides) under uncultured Rhodobacterales bacterium. RNAcentral's name for it is "bacterial SSU rRNA". It matches the Rfam family "Bacterial small subunit ribosomal RNA", at positions 227 to 1445 of the family's 1533-position model. Lineage: Bacteria; Pseudomonadati; Pseudomonadota; Alphaproteobacteria; Rhodobacterales. The record is from RNAcentral.
GAAUGAUCCCCCUUUAAUAAUAGUGGGGGUAUGCCACCAUUUAAAUCUUAGGUGUUGAGGGUGUCGCACACGGGAUUAACAGGCCCAAUUCUACGGGAGCAGCAGUCGGGAUCUAGCAAUGGGGCAGCCUGAUCUAGCAUGCCGCUGAGUGAUGAGGCCUAGGUCGUAAAGCUCUUNAUCUGUGAGAUAUGACGGUACAGUAGAAGAACCCGGCUAACUCCGUGCCAGCAGCUGCGGUAAUACGGAGGGGUUAGCGUUGUUCGGAAUACUGGCGUAAGCGUACGUAGGCGGAUAUCAAGUUAGAGGUGAAUCCCAGGCUCAACCCUGAACUGCCUUAAAACUGUAGUCUGAGAUCGAGAGAGGUGAGUGGAAUUCCAAGUGUAGAGGUGAAAUUAGUAGAUAUUGGAGGAACACCAGUGGCGAAGNCGGCUCACUGGCUCGAUACUGANGCUGAGGUACGAAAGUGUGGGAGCAAACAGGAUUAGAUACCCUGGUAGUCCACACCGUAAACGAUGAAUGCCAGACGUCAGCAAGCAUGCUUGUUGGUGUCACACCUAACGGAUUAAGCAUUCCGCCUGGGGAGUACGGUCGCAAGAUUAAAACUCAAAGGAAUUGACGGGGGCCCGCACAAGCGGUGGAGCAUGUGGUUUANUUNGACGCNACGCGCAGAACCUUACCAACCCUUGACAUACUUGUCGCGGAUUCCAGAGAUNGAUUCCUUCAGUUCGGCUGGACAAUGUACAGGUGCUGCAUGGCUGUCGUCAGCUCGUGUCGUGAGAUGUUCGGUUAAGUCCGGCAACGAGCGCAACCCACGUCCUUAGUUACCAGCAUUUAGUUGGGUACCCUAAGGAGACUGCCGGUGAUAAGCCGGAGGAAGGUGUGGACGACGUCAAGUCAUCAUGGCCCUUACGGGUUGGGCUACACACGUGCUACAAUGGCAUCUACAGUGAGUUAAUCUCCAAAAGAUGUCUCAGUUCGGAUUGGGGUCUGCAACUCGACCCCAUGAAGUNGGAAUCGCUAGUAAUCGCGGAACAGCAUGCCGCGGUGAAUACUGUUCACCGCGGCCUUGUACACACCGCCUCGUCACACCAUGGGCAAUUGGGUCUACCUCGACAGGUGGUGCGCCCAACNAUUCAUA